GAAUUUAGACAAGAGAAAAAAAAAACAAAGUUCUCCCAGGCCGAGGCUCAUCCAUUGCACUCCGGGUGUGCUGACCACUGCGAUUUCCCCAAAUGCGGGAAACUCGACGGCAUAAUUCGGGGUAGUUGGGGACUGCGUUCGCGCUCUCCCCUG
RNAcentral lists this small nuclear RNA (153 nucleotides) under Erpetoichthys calabaricus (reedfish). RNAcentral's name for it is "U1 spliceosomal RNA (ENSECRG00000019122.1)". It matches the Rfam family "U1 spliceosomal RNA", at positions 22 to 166 of the family's 166-position model. From Rfam's summary of the family: U1 is a small nuclear RNA (snRNA) component of the spliceosome (involved in pre-mRNA splicing). Lineage: Eukaryota; Metazoa; Chordata; Cladistia; Polypteriformes; Polypteridae. The record is from Rfam by way of RNAcentral.